GAUGAACGCUGGCGGCGUGCCUAAUACAUGCAAGUCGAGCGAACAGACGAGGAGCUUGCUCCUCUGACGUUAGCGGCGGACGGGUGAGUAACACGUGGAUAACCUACCUAUAAGACUGGCAUAACUUCGGGAAACCGGAGCUAAUACCGGAUAAUAUAUUGAACCGCAUGGUUCAAUAGUGAAAGACGGUUUUGCUGUCACUUAUAGAUGGAUCCGCGCCGCAUUAGCUAGUUGGUAAGGUAACGGCUUACCAAGGCAACGAUGCGUAGCCGACCUGAGAGGGUGAUCGGCCACACUGGAACUGAGACACGGUCCAGACUCCUACGGGAGGCAGCAGUAGGGAAUCUUCCGCAAUGGGCGAAAGCCUGACGGAGCAACGCCGCGUGAGUGAUGAAGGUCUUCGGAUCGUAAAACUCUGUUAUUAGGGAAGAACAAAUGUGUAAGUAACUAUGCACGUCUUGACGGUACCUAAUCAGAAAGCCACGGCUAACUACGU
This 496-nucleotide ribosomal RNA is filed under the name uncultured bacterium. RNAcentral describes it as "partial 16S ribosomal RNA". It matches the Rfam family "Bacterial small subunit ribosomal RNA", at positions 28 to 506 of the family's 1533-position model. The record is from RNAcentral.